This 379-nucleotide ribosomal RNA is filed under the name uncultured cyanobacterium. Its description in RNAcentral is "bacterial SSU rRNA". It matches the Rfam family "Bacterial small subunit ribosomal RNA", at positions 376 to 770 of the family's 1533-position model. Lineage: Bacteria; Bacillati; Cyanobacteriota. The record is from RNAcentral.
CGAAAGCCUGACGGAGCAAGACCGCGUGAGGGAGGAAGGCUCUUGGGUUGUAAACCUCUUUUCUCAGGGAAGAAGCUCUGACGGUACCUGAGGAAUCAGCAUCGGCUAACUCCGUGCCAGCAGCCGCGGUAAUACGGAGGAGGCAAGCGUUAUCCGGAAUGAUUGGGCGUAAAGCGUCCGUAGGUGGUCUAUCAAGUCGGCGGUAAAAGACCGAAGCUUAACUUCGGAGUGGCCGUGGAAACUGAGAGACUAGAGAGCGACAGGGGCAGAGGGAAUUCCCAGUGUAGCGGUGAAAUGCGUAGAGAUUGGGAAGAACACCAGUGGCGAAAGCGCUCUGCUGGGUCGCAACUGACACUGAGGGACGAAAGCUAGGGGAGCG